AUGGAGUCAUACUGGAGGAUCUAGCAAAUGCCUAGAAAAAAUAACUUUAGGCAUUACUAGGACCUCCGGCUCGUCUGU
MicroRNA precursor from Anolis carolinensis (green anole), 78 nucleotides. Lineage: Eukaryota; Metazoa; Chordata; Lepidosauria; Squamata; Anolidae. The record is from Ensembl.